RNAcentral lists this transfer RNA (73 nucleotides) under Stegodyphus mimosarum. It matches the Rfam family "tRNA". From Rfam's summary of the family: Transfer RNA (tRNA) molecules are approximately 80 nucleotides in length. Their secondary structure includes four short double-helical elements and three loops (D, anti-codon, and T loops). The record is from Rfam by way of RNAcentral. Lineage: Eukaryota; Metazoa; Arthropoda; Arachnida; Araneae; Eresidae.
GCCUUCGUGGUGUAGUGGUCAGCACGCUUUGGAGGUAAUGGAGAGGUCCGUGGUUCGAGUCCCGGCGAGGGCA